This 474-nucleotide ribosomal RNA is filed under the name uncultured Latescibacterota bacterium. RNAcentral's name for it is "bacterial SSU rRNA". It matches the Rfam family "Bacterial small subunit ribosomal RNA", at positions 916 to 1381 of the family's 1533-position model. Lineage: Bacteria; Pseudomonadati; Candidatus Latescibacterota. The record is from RNAcentral.
ACGGGGCCCGCACAAGCGGUGGAGCAUGUGGUUUAAUUCGAAGCAACGCGAAGAACCUUACCAGGCCUUGACAUGCUAGGGAACCCGGGUGAAAGCCUGGGGUGCCCCGCGAGGGGAGCCCUAGCACAGGUGCUGCAUGGCCGUCGUCAGCUCGUGCCGUGAGGUGUUGGGUUAAGUCCCGCAACGAGCGCAACCCUUAUCCCCAGUUGCCAUCAGGUAAAGCUGGGAACUCUGGGGAGACUGCCGGUGAUAAACCGGAGGAAGGCGGGGAUGACGUCAAGUCCUCAUGGCCCUUACAUCCCGGGCUACACACGUGCUACAAUGGCAGGUACAGAGGGCUGCGAAGCCGCGAGGUGGAGCGAAUCCCAGAAAACCUGUCUCAGUCCGGAUUGAAGUCUGCAACUCGACUUCAUGAAGGCGGAAUCGCUAGUAACCGCGAAUCAGCAGGUCGCGGUGAAUACGUUCCCGGGCCUU